CACUCCUGCGGGAGGCAGCAGUGGGGAAUAUUGGACAAUGGGCGCAAGCCUGAUCCAGCCAUGCCGCGUGAGUGAUGAAGGCCCUAGGGUUGUAAAGCUCUUUCACCGGAGAAGAUAAUGACGGUAUCCGGAGAAGAAGCCCCGGCUAACUUCGUGCCAGCAGCCGCGGUAAUACGAAGGGGGCUAGCGUUGUUCGGAAUUACUGGGCGUAAAGCGCACGUAGGCGGAUCGAUCAGUCAGGGGUGAAAUCCCAGGGCUCAACCCUGGAACUGCCUUUGAUACUGUCGAUCUGGAGUAUGGAAGAGGUGAGUGGAAUUCCGAGUGUAGAGGUGAAAUUCGUAGAUAUUCGGAGGAACACCAGUGGCGAAGGCGGCUCACUGGUCCAUUACUGACGCUGAGGUGCGAAAGCGUGGGGAGCAAACAGGAUUAGAAACCCUUGUAGUCCCA
This 447-nucleotide ribosomal RNA is filed under the name uncultured organism. Its description in RNAcentral is "partial 16S ribosomal RNA". It matches the Rfam family "Bacterial small subunit ribosomal RNA", at positions 334 to 797 of the family's 1533-position model. The record is from RNAcentral.